This 428-nucleotide ribosomal RNA is filed under the name Pseudomonadota bacterium. RNAcentral describes it as "Proteobacteria bacterium partial 16S ribosomal RNA". It matches the Rfam family "Bacterial small subunit ribosomal RNA", at positions 355 to 776 of the family's 1533-position model. Lineage: Bacteria; Pseudomonadati; Pseudomonadota. The record is from RNAcentral.
UGGUGAAUAUUGGACAAUGGGCGAAAGCCUGAUCCAGCCAUGCCGCGUGUGUGAAGAAGGUCUUCGGAUUGUAAAGCACUUUAAGUUGGGAGGAAGGGCAGUAAGCGAAUACCUUGCUGUUUUGACGUUACCGACAGAAUAAGCACCGGCUAACUCUGUGCCAGCAGCCGCGGUAAUACAGAGGGUGCAAGCGUUAAUCGGAAUUACUGGGCGUAAAGCGCGCGUAGGUGGUUCGUUAAGUUGAAUGUGAAAGCCCCGGGCUCAACCUGGGAACUGCAUCCAAAACUGGCGAGCUGGAGUAGGGCAGAGGGUGGUGGAAUGUCCUGUGUAGCGGUGAAAUGCGUAGAUAUAGGAAGGAACACCAGUGGCGAAGGCGACCACCUGGGCUCAUACUGACACUGAGGUGCGAAAGCGUGGGAGCAAACAGG